AUUGAACGCUGGCGGCAGGCCUAACACAUGCAAGUCGAGCGGAUGAAGGGAGCUUGCUCCUGGAUUCAGCGGCGGACGGGUGAGUAAUGCCUAGGAAUCUGCCUGGUAGUGGGGGACAACGUCCGGAAACGGGCGCUAAUACCGCAUACGUCCUGAGGGAGAAAGUGGGGGAUCUUCAGACCUCACGCUAUCAGAUGAGCCUAGGUCGGAUUAGCUAGUUGGUGGGGUAAAGGCCUACCAAGGCGACGAUCCGUAACUGGUCUGAGAGGAUGAUCAGUCACACUGGAACUGAGACACGGUCCAGACUCCUACGGGAGGCAGCAGUGGGGAAUAUUGGACAAUGGGCGAAAGCCUGAUCCAGCCAUGCCGCGUGUGUGAAGAAGGUCUUCGGAUUGUAAAGCACUUUAAGUUGGGAGGAAGGGCAGUAAGUUAAUACCUUGCUGUUUUGACGUUACCAACAGAAUAAGCACCGGCUAACUUCGUG
Molecule: ribosomal RNA, 484 nt
Filed under: uncultured bacterium
Lineage: Bacteria
Description: partial 16S ribosomal RNA
Rfam family: Bacterial small subunit ribosomal RNA
Source: RNAcentral